This 2884-nucleotide ribosomal RNA is filed under the name Elphidium asklundi. RNAcentral's name for it is "SSU rRNA". The stretch from base 462 to 2884 matches the Rfam family "Eukaryotic small subunit ribosomal RNA". The record is from RNAcentral. Lineage: Eukaryota; Foraminifera; Rotaliida; Elphidiidae.
AUAUAUAUAUCGCGCACUGGGAGAUCUCUAUACCUUAUACACUAUCUCUCUAUGCGUGUAAGACACACAGAAUGACUUCUCUGUAUCGCGUUAUCCCUCAAUUGCGUUACACCGUGACCCAAUAUUCUUAUAUUAUGGAUAACUCAGGGAAAGUUUGGCUAAUACGUACACGAGUCUAUAUAUAUAUAUAUAUACACUAUUCACACACACACACACUCUUAUAUGUGUAUCAACGACGGGUCUUGCUUUCUAUACACGCGCUCACUGCAUGCAACCAUGUUACGAUAUAUAUAGUGAAUAGUGAUAUCUACUCAGCACUCAAUGGUAAACUUUUUAGAUUUGCAUACUGUUACAUCGCUUCGGCGUGUACUAUAUGUAUUUCUUAACACUUAUUCACAGUUUACACGCACCAUGAGAGACAUUGAGCACGCUCUAGUGUGAAUGAAUUUCAUUUACACGUCUACGCUGAGCAGACUUUGCGAAGUUUACUUUGCGAAGCAUGUCAUACAAGCAUCUACAGCAUCAAGUCACAGGGUUGGCAAGUGUAUUAUUGAACCUUCAAAGCAGUCACGCAUACGGAGGAGUAGUUUCUUAUCCCAUAGAAGGAGCACCGUACAAUGAGAGACCGCUCUUAGUUCUAAGGAACGCAGCAGGCGCAAAAAUUGCCCAAUGCUAGUACCCUAUUAUACUAUCGAAUAUUUAUAUCGCACACACACACACGCACACAUUAUAUAUUAUAUCCUUGUUCGCAUAGUCUCACAUUAUACUGAGGCAGUGACAAGCUGUAACGGUUGAGUAUUUAUAAUGACGAGUGUCUGGCAUUGCCGCUUCCUCGGAAGCUUGGCAAGUUGCCGACGCUUUGUGUGCUCAAUUGGAAUGCGGUGAGUCCAAGCAACUCAGAACCUUUGAACCUGUGUUUACACGAUCUCACGUGUUUACACUAUUCAUGUAUCUGAAUUUCAAGUGGAGGGCAAGUCUGGUGCCAGCAGCCGCGGUAAUACCAGCUCCACUGGCCUAUACAAUCAUUGUUGCGGUUAAGAGGCUCGUAGUUGGAUUGAACUACUCAUACACAUGCACUUUCACAUGCAUAUAUUUUAGUAGCACGCAUAUAUAUACACUAUACACACACACACACACACACAGUAUAUAUAUAUAUAUGCGUKCGACUUCUAUUGUAUCGUAUAUACGUUACGUACGUACGUGAUGAGUGCAAAGAGAGUGUAUAUACCUCACCCUUUCAACACUGUGAACAAAUCAGAGUGUAUCACAYAUGUCUUUUUCAUUUGAAUGCGCAUUGAAUGUCUUAUCAUGGGACGUCAUACCUCUAAACCAUUGAAAAGUAACAUGUACGAUGCACACUCAUACACUCUAUACAUGCACACACACACACACACACACUCACUCACNAUACACAUACACGUGUAUAUACUUUGAUGGGYUCUCAAUUGCAAUUUACCUUUACGGUGACUUUGCAAGCAUCCUCAGCCUGCAAAAUGCCUUAUGGCUUGAGCUUGUAUCUUUUACGAGGUACGCUCGCUGUAUAGCACUUUUAUGCACGGUCUCGACGGACGUUUCAUUUCAUUAUUCUUUAUUUAUUGCGUGUAGGCAUUAUGACUAUAUAUUUUUAAACGAAUGUAUAUCAUUAGCGUGCACAGGAUUUUCGGAGCUUUGCGCUCAAUUUAUUCUGGUGAGAUGUAAGCAUCAUGUUUCUUUCUGCCGCGUACUUCAACCUAUGCGUGUAGCAAAGCUAACAAUUUAUAUGUGAAGCACGCUUUAGGCACGCGCUUACUGCAGAAAUGUCUGAGACAUUCCUUUCCGGGGGAAGUAUGUACGCAAGUAUGAAACUUGAAGGAAUUGACGGAAGGGCACCACAAGAACGCGUGGAGCAUGUGGCUUAAUUUGACUCAACGCGGGAAAUCUUACCGGGUCCGGACACACUGAGGAUUGACAGGCAAUAUUAUACUCGCAGUCUCACCGCGUGUAUAUGUUAAAUAUGCUAGUCCUUUCAUGAUUAUGUGAUAGGUGGUGCAUGGCCGUUCUUAGUUCGUGGAGUGAUCUGUCUGCUUAAUUGCGUUUCACUAAAGGGCUUAUACAUUUAUAUAUUUUACAUAUAUACUAUGCGCAUACACUUUACUGUGUGUGUGUGUAUGUGUGUGUAUCUCAUAUACUUAGGCUCUGAAAGCAACGAACGUGACCGCAACCUCUUGUUGCCUUAUAUAUACAACACUCAUAUAUGCACUUUAUUGUGUGUGUGUGUAGUGUAUGACGCCAAGGCUUUUUAAACUAGAGGGACCGCUGUGACAUUCUUUCAACCAGAGGAAGGUUGCGGCAAUAACAGGUCUGUGAUGCCCUUAGAUGUUCCGGGCUGCACACGUGCUACAAUGAUUAUUGCAGUGAGCAUCUCAUUUGAUUUAUACAUCGCUUGCGCGAGUACACGCGUAUAUAUAUAUUAUACUUUACGGUAUAUGUAUGUGUGUAUGUGUGUUACUCUGCGCGCGAUUCAGCCUGCUCCGUUAGGUAGCGGGUAAUCAAUUAGAAGUAGUGAUUUCCUUUAUAUUUUUUGCACGACUAUAUACGGCGUCUUAUGCCCGGCUUAUACUUCGCUAUAGGUUUUGUGUUGCAUUCGAUGUAUAACCGUAUGUGCAAUUGUCAAUUCAUGGUGGGGACAGACCAUUGUUAAUUGUUGGUCUCGGUCUUAACUAGGAAUGCCUUGUACGGGUCUUUGGUUCAACAAACCACCCGGAAUACGUCCCUGCCCUUUGUACACACCGCCCGUCGCUCUUACCGAUGGAUUUCUCUGUGAGUUUGAGGGACUGGAUACACCACAUCUAUGGAAACUUAAACGAACAGUGUGAUCUAAAGGAAAGAGAAGUCGAACAAGGCA